AGAUAAAAUAAAAUUCGGGCGUUUAGCAUACCAUACAUAAUCACCAGUUGGCAAGAAUCGAAAGUCAAUCGUAACAACCUUGCUGAGCCUAAAUCGGUGAACUCGUUGCAGGAUUCCAAAAUGUUGCAUACGAAAAUCACCAAUCUCUUCAAUUCCGCUGGCACAUCAAGAUCAGUUCCACCGCAACCUUGAAGUAAAUUUUUAGUGAAAACGGUAGGAGACUUGUUUAAUUCAUCCAAGCUAAUUGUGGUUAACGCGUCUAACUCUGGUAUCAUAGUACUCUUCAAAAUGCCUGCAUCUCUUAUUCGAAAUAAAUGGACACCAGUCACUCCUUCUAUUGAGCGUACAGAUUCAUACAAGUCAU
Molecule: non-coding RNA, 364 nt
Organism: Schizosaccharomyces pombe (fission yeast)
Lineage: Eukaryota; Fungi; Ascomycota; Schizosaccharomycetes; Schizosaccharomycetales; Schizosaccharomycetaceae
Source: the annotation of a GenBank genome assembly